CAGUAGCCGCGGGAAUACGUAGGUCCCGAGCGUUGUCCGGAUUUAUUGGGCGUAAAGCGUGCGCAGGCGGUUAGAUAAGUCUGAAGUUAAAGGCCGUGGCUUAACCAUAGUACGCUUUGGAAACUGUUUAACUUGAGUGCAAGAGGGGAGAGUGGAAUUCCAUGUGUAGCGGUGAAAUGCGUAGAUAUAUGGAGGAACACCGGUGGCGAAAGCGGCUCUCUGGCUUGUAACUGACGCUGAGGCUCGAAAGCGUGGGGAGCAAACAGGAUUAGAUACCCCUGUAGUCCCUGUCGCUUAUACC
RNAcentral lists this ribosomal RNA (301 nucleotides) under uncultured bacterium. Its description in RNAcentral is "partial 16S ribosomal RNA". It matches the Rfam family "Bacterial small subunit ribosomal RNA", at positions 509 to 810 of the family's 1533-position model. The record is from RNAcentral.